This 251-nucleotide ribosomal RNA is filed under the name uncultured bacterium. Its description in RNAcentral is "partial 16S ribosomal RNA". It matches the Rfam family "Bacterial small subunit ribosomal RNA", at positions 524 to 776 of the family's 1533-position model. The record is from RNAcentral.
UACGUAGGGUGCAAGCGUUAAUCGGAAUUACUGGGCGUAAAGCGUGCGCAGGCGGUUUGUAAGUUUGUCGUGAAAGCCCCGGGCUCAACCUGGGAAUUGCGAUGAAGACUGCAAGGCUUGAAUCUGGCAGAGGGGGUAGAAUUCCACGUGUAGCAGGUGAAAUGCGUAGAGAUGUGGAGGAACACCGAUGGCGAAGGCAGCCCCUGGGUCAAGAUUGACGCUCAUGCACGAAAGCGUGGGGAGCAAACAGG